UCUAAAUCUCCUCUGCCAGUAUAUUCAUAGUUGCAGUUUUUUUUCGCAAGUGGAACAUGAAAAUAAUGAUUAAUUGAAUUAUUUCAGCAAGUUAACAAUGUAAGUUACUAUAAGGUAGCGUAAUUAUAUAUGUGAUGUACCAUGCCGCGAUUGUUGCACCGAUACUUACGCUAUAUAAUUUCCAAUUUAGCAAAAACCCUAAAUGGUAUAACAGUCCCGUGUGGUGACUGUACAUACGAUAUAAUAGAUACUACGUGAUUUAGUUACAUUAUUAUUUUAAUGGUAAAGUUUAUGUGACAAAGUACCUUCACCGUCUAAGCUGACUAAACUAUCGUCUUACAAAGUUUUAACCAGUAUGUGACUGCGGUUCCUCAAUUCCCCAACGGAGCGACAGCUGACGUCCACGAGGGUUCAUAGCACAUCGCCCUUAGCCCCUUUACGAGUUAUCGCCAUGGAUGCUACUGACGCUACUGUCCCUAGCCCGCAGUCUAUUAUUAGGUUUUAAAUUUUAAGUUAUGUAGGUAGGUACCCGUGUUUCUUGUGAUUUAAACAACAAGUCUUGGUUGGGUUUUUCAACGGGAUUUCGAGUGCUUUUCUUGUUACAGAAUUUGAAAACUCUAAGCGCUUCAGUAAGUUUAGAUGCACUUUGUGACUAGGCUUUUUAUGAGCUUUACACCUAUCUCCGAAGUUUCGAGGCAGGCAUUGUCCCCGUGGUCUCGGAGUCAACAUCUUCUAGUGGCGCGAGGUCGAACUAACCACACUUGGUCUUGUUUAACGAUAAAGUCAUAACGUCUCUAAAAUAUGAAAUGCAAAUAAGAUUGCAUUUUUAAGAUAGUAAAUUUGUUUUCGUUUAAAACUAAACACAAUUUAAUAAGCUAAAAUGUUUACCUAGGUACUUAGGUUAUAAGUCAAAGAUAUUAAUAUUACGUAUAUUUUUACUUUCUCCUACUUCAGAAAACAAAUAAAAAAGAUAAGGGUGGUGCGAUAAAAGUAUGUAAAGAGAUUAAAAUUUUGUUUUAUCUUUAAUUCUCAAAUUAUUUUUUACUGAUAUUACUAAUUUAUAUCGUUGUUUAUAGCUGGUAGGUAAAUAAUUUUUUUAUUUGUAUGAUUUAUUUAGUACAAAACCUAGUGAUUUUUAAGUUUCCUAUAAAAUUACUUAAUGCUAAUUAAUAAAAUGUCUUCAUAUUGUCUUGUGUUAAAUUUAUUUUUUACGACGUUUAGGUGGCCAAAGUUGCCGCGGAGGAAGUAGUCAAGGAAGCAAAACUAAAGGCAAAGCAGCUCAUGUCAGGAACACAUGAAGAGGACUCAGAGUCUCAGAAGAAAACACUAUGCAUUUUCACUCCGGAUAGAAAAUAUUGCGUUGUGCAGGAGAAGGGGUACAACUAAGAAUACAAAAAAAAUCUAAAUAAAGAAUGUUGUUAGUUUUUUUUUAAUCA
This is a long non-coding RNA of Cydia splendana, 1436 nucleotides long. RefSeq lists it as uncharacterized. The transcript has 3 exons. Lineage: Eukaryota; Metazoa; Arthropoda; Insecta; Lepidoptera; Tortricidae. The record is from RefSeq and is a predicted model, not a curated record.